RNAcentral lists this small nuclear RNA (298 nucleotides) under Microtus ochrogaster (prairie vole). Its description in RNAcentral is "7SK RNA (ENSMOCG00000005705.1)". It matches the Rfam family "7SK RNA". Rfam says of the family: 7SK was discovered as an abundant small nuclear RNA in the mid-70s but a possible function has only recently been suggested. Two independent studies have found that 7SK RNA binds the CDK9/cyclin T complex (known as elongation factor P-TEFb). Lineage: Eukaryota; Metazoa; Chordata; Mammalia; Rodentia; Cricetidae. The record is from RNAcentral.
GGACGUCGGGAGAUCUGGCUGCGGCAUUCAUCUCCAGGGUUGAUUUGACUGAUCUGGCUGGCUACGGAGGGCGUCCGCUUCCUCCCUCACACUUCAUGUGCAUCCCUCUGAAGCUGCAUGCUUGACGACCUCCUCCAAAUAAAGGGGAACAGCUGGACGGCCUUCCCCAUGUCGAGGAGGGGCAGUCUUCGGUCAAGGGUCCACGAGUAGCUGUGCUCCCUUGCUAGAACCUCCAAACAAGCUCUCGAAAGUCAAGUACAUGGGUGGGCUUGGUUAAAGGCACCCCAACAAGGAUGAU